RNAcentral lists this ribosomal RNA (253 nucleotides) under uncultured bacterium. RNAcentral describes it as "partial 16S ribosomal RNA". It matches the Rfam family "Bacterial small subunit ribosomal RNA", at positions 524 to 776 of the family's 1533-position model. The record is from RNAcentral.
UACGGGGGGGGUAAGCGUUGUUCGGAAUUACUGGGCGUAAAGGGCUCGUAGGCGGCCCACUAAGUCAGACGUGAAAUCCCUCAGCUUAACUGGGGAACUGCGUCUGAUACUGGAUGGCUUGGAUUCGGGAGAGGAAUGCGGAAUUCCAGGUGUAGCGGUGAAAUGCGUAGAUAUCUGGAGGAACACCGGUGGCGAAGGCGGCAUUCUGGACCGAUAUUGACGCUGAGGAGCGAAAGCCAGGGGAGCAAACGGG